Molecule: ribosomal RNA, 253 nt
Filed under: uncultured bacterium
Lineage: Bacteria
Description: partial 16S ribosomal RNA
Rfam family: Bacterial small subunit ribosomal RNA
Source: RNAcentral
GACAGAGGUGCCGAGCGUUAGGCGGAAUCACUGGGCUUAAAGCGUGUGUAGGCGGGCCGUUAAGUACCUUGUGAAAUCCCCCGGCUCAACCGGGGAACGGCUGGGUAUACUGGCGGCCUUGAGAGGCCUAGGGGCGAGCGGAACAAGCGGUGGAGCGGUGAAAUGCGCAGAUAUCGGGAGGAACACCAGUAGCGAAGGCGGCUCGCUGGGCCACACCUGACGCUGAGACGCGAAAGCUAGGGGAGCGAACAGG